This 1101-nucleotide ribosomal RNA is filed under the name uncultured bacterium. RNAcentral's name for it is "bacterial SSU rRNA". It matches the Rfam family "Bacterial small subunit ribosomal RNA", at positions 376 to 1504 of the family's 1533-position model. The record is from RNAcentral.
CGCAAGUCUGAUGGAGCGACGCCGCGUGGGUGAUGAAGGUUUUCGGAUCGUAAAGCCCUUUUCUGUGUGACGAGACAAGGACGGUAGCACAGGAAUAAGUGUCGGCUAACUACGUGCCAGCAGCCGCGGUAAAACGUAGGACACAAGCGUUAUCCGGAGUUACUGGGCGUAAAGGGCGUGCAGGCGGUUUCUUAAGUCAGGCGUGAAACCAUUCGGCUAAACCGGGUGUAGUCGUCUGAGACUGGGAGACUAGAGUGUGGUAGAGGCGUGUAGAAUUCCGGGUGUAGUGGUGAAAUGCGUAGAUAUCCGGAGGAAUACCAGUGGCGAAGGCGGCACGCUGGGCCAUAACUGACGCUAAGACGCGAAAGCAUGGGUAGCGAACGGGAUUAGAAACCCCGGUAGUCCAUGCCGUAAACGAUGUAUACUGGGUGUUCAGACGGGGAAGCUCGUCGGGGUGCCUAAGCUAACGCGCUAAGUAUACCGCCUGGGGAGUACGGUCGCAAGGCUAAAACUCAAAGGAAUUGACGGGGGCCCGCACAAGCAGCGGAGCGUGUGGUUUAAUUCGAGGCUACACGAAGAACCUUACCUGGGUUUGACAUCAUGGUAGUAGUGAAGCGAAAGCGGAACGACCUUCGGGAGCCAUGACAGGUGCUGCAUGGCUGUCGUCAGCUCGUGUCGUGAGAUGUUCGGUUAAGUCCGAAAACGAGCGCAACCCCCGGGUCUAGUUACAAGUGUCUAGACCGACUGCCCGUGACAAACGGGAGGAAGGUGGGGAUGACGUCAAGUCAGCAUGGCCUUUAUAUCCAGGGCUACACACACGCUACAAUGGCCGGUACAGUAGGUAGCGAAGCGGCGACGCGGAGCCAAUCCACCAAAGCCGGUCGUAGUUCGGAUUGCAGGCUGCAACUCGCCUGCAUGAAGCUGGAGUUGCUAGUAACCGCAGGUCAGCUAUACUGCGGUGAAUACGUUCCCGGGCCUUGUACACACCGCCCGUCACGUCAUGGGAGCUGGUCACGCCUGAAGUCGGGAAGCCAACCGCAAGGAGGCUACCGCCGAGGGCAGGGCCGGUGACUGGGACGAAGUCGUAACAAGGUAACCGUA